CUGUUCGAGCGUCAUUAUGACCAAUCAAGCUCUGCUUGGCCUUGGGGCCCGCUAUACAGCGGCUCUUAAAAUUAGUGGCGGUGCUGUCUGGCUCUAAGCGUAGUAAUACUUCUCGUUAUAGGGUCCAACGGUCCAUCUGCCAGAAAUCCCAACUUUCUUAGGUUGACCUCGGAUCAGGUAGGGAUACCCGCUGAACUUAA
RNAcentral lists this unclassified non-coding RNA (200 nucleotides) under soil metagenome. RNAcentral's name for it is "partial contains internal transcribed spacer 2 and large subunit ribosomal RNA". The record is from RNAcentral.